AACGCUGGCGGCGUGCCUAACACAUGCAAGUCGAGCGAGACGGUUAAGAAUGAUCCUUCGGGUGAAUGAUUAACUAGACAGCGGCGGACGGGUGAGUAACGCGUGGGUAACCUGCCUUAUACUGGGGGAUAACGUUUUGAAAAGAACGCUAAUACCGCAUAAGCGCACAGUAUCGCAUGAUACGGUGUGAAAAACUCCGGUGGUAUAAGAUGGACCCGCGUCAGAUUAGCUAGUUGGUGAGAUAAAAGCUCACCAAGGCGACGAUCUGUAGCCGACCUGAGAGGGUGAUCGGCCACAUUGGGACUGAGACACGGCCCAAACUCCUACGGGAGGCAGCAGUGGAGAAU
This 347-nucleotide ribosomal RNA is filed under the name unidentified eubacterium clone EH-19. RNAcentral describes it as "bacterial SSU rRNA". It matches the Rfam family "Bacterial small subunit ribosomal RNA", at positions 32 to 362 of the family's 1533-position model. Lineage: Bacteria; Bacillati; Bacillota; Clostridia; Eubacteriales. The record is from RNAcentral.